This 433-nucleotide ribosomal RNA is filed under the name uncultured bacterium. Its description in RNAcentral is "partial 16S ribosomal RNA". It matches the Rfam family "Bacterial small subunit ribosomal RNA", at positions 29 to 507 of the family's 1533-position model. The record is from RNAcentral.
AACGAACGCUGGCGGCAUGCCUAACACAUGCAAGUCGAACGAGACCUUCGGGUCUAGUGGCGCACGGGUGCGUAACGCGUGGGAACCUGCCCUUAGGUUCGGAAUAACUCCCCGAAAGGGGUGCUAAUACCGGAUAAUGUCUUCGGACCAAAGAUUUAUCGCCUUUGGGUGGGCCCGCGUUGGAUUAGCUAGUUGGUAGGGUAAAAGCCUACCAAGGCGACGAUCCAUAGCUGGUCUGAGAGGAUGAUCAGCCACACUGGGACUGAGACACGGCCCAGACUCCUACGGGAGGCAGCAGUGGGGAAUAUUGGACAAUGGGCGAAAGCCUGAUCGAGCAAGGCCGGGUGAGUGAUGAAGGCCUUAGGGUUGUAAAGCUCUUUUACCCGGGAUGAUAAUGACAGUACCGGGAGAAUAAGCUCCGGCUAACUCCGUG